This 460-nucleotide ribosomal RNA is filed under the name uncultured Diversispora. Its description in RNAcentral is "SSU rRNA". It matches the Rfam family "Eukaryotic small subunit ribosomal RNA", at positions 569 to 1031 of the family's 1831-position model. The record is from RNAcentral. Lineage: Eukaryota; Fungi; Glomeromycota; Glomeromycetes; Diversisporales; Diversisporaceae.
AGCAGCCGCGGUAAUUCCAGCUCCAAUAGCGUAUAUUAAAGUUGUUGCAGUUAAAAGGCUCGUAGUUGAACUUCGGGGUUUACCCAUUGGUCAGGCUUAAUUGUCUGUACUGGUGAGAUAAAUCUCUACCUUCUGAGGAACUUUAAUGCCAUUUAGUUGGUGUGAUAGGAAAUCAGGACUGUUACUUUGAAAAAAUUAGAGUGUUUAAAGCAGGCUAACGUCUGAAUACAUUAGCAUGGAAUAAUGAAAUAGGACGGAUUGGUUCUAUUUCGUUGGUUUCUAGGAUCACCGUAAUGAUUAAUAGGGAUAGUUGGGGGCAUUAGUAUUCAAUUGUCAGAGGUGAAAUUCUUGGAUUUAUUGAAGACUAACUAUUGCGAAAGCAUUUGCCAAGGAUGUUUCCAUUAAUCAAGAACGAAAGUUAGGGGAUCGAAGACGAUCAGAUACCGUCGUAGUCUUAACC